This 119-nucleotide ribosomal RNA is filed under the name Pteropus alecto (black flying fox). The record is from RNAcentral. Lineage: Eukaryota; Metazoa; Chordata; Mammalia; Chiroptera; Pteropodidae.
AUCUAUGGCCAUGCUACCCUGAAAAAGCCCGAUCCCUUUUGAACUCGGAAGCUAAGCAGGGUCGGGCUUAGUUAGUACUUGGAUGGGAGACCACCUAGGAAGACCAGGUGCUAUAGGCA